UACGAAGGGUGCAAGCGUUACUCGGAAUUACUGGGCGUAAAGCGUGCGUAGGUGGUUUGUUAAGUCUGUUGUGAAAGCCCCGGGCUCAACCUGGGAAUGGCAAUGGAUACUGGCAAGCUAGAGUGCGGUAGAGGGUAGUGGAAUUCCCGGUGUAGCGGUGAAAUGCGUAGAGAUCGAGAGGAACACCUGCGGCGAAGGCGGGUUGCUGGGCUGACACUGACGCUGAAGUGCGAAAGCUAGGGGAGCGAACGGG
RNAcentral lists this ribosomal RNA (253 nucleotides) under uncultured bacterium. Its description in RNAcentral is "partial 16S ribosomal RNA". It matches the Rfam family "Bacterial small subunit ribosomal RNA", at positions 524 to 776 of the family's 1533-position model. The record is from RNAcentral.